GACGAACGCUGGCGGCGUGCUUAACACAUGCAAGUCGAACGGAAAGGCCCUGCUUUUGUGGGGUGCUCGAGUGGCGAACGGGUGAGUAACACGUGAGUAACCUGCCCUUGACUUUGGGAUAACCUCGGGAAACUGGGGCUAAUACCGGAUAGGAGCUCCUGCUGCAUGGCGGUGGUUGGAAGGUUUCGGCGGUUGGGGAUGGACUCGCGGCUUAUCAGCUUGUUGGUGGAGUAGUGGCUUACCAAGGCUUUGACGGGUAGCCGGCGUGAGAGGGUGACCGGCCACAUUGGGACUGAGAUACGGCCCAGACUCCUACGGGAGGCAGCAGUGGGGAAUAUUGCACAAUGGGCGGAAGCCUGAUGCAGCAACGCCGCGUGCGGGAUGACGGCCUUCGGGUUGUAAACCGCUUUCGCCUGUGACGAAGCGUGAGUGACGGUAAUGGGUAAAGAAGCACCGGCUAACUACGUG
This 468-nucleotide ribosomal RNA is filed under the name uncultured bacterium. RNAcentral's name for it is "partial 16S ribosomal RNA". It matches the Rfam family "Bacterial small subunit ribosomal RNA", at positions 28 to 507 of the family's 1533-position model. The record is from RNAcentral.